Daphnia carinata is the source of this 315-nucleotide long non-coding RNA. RefSeq lists it as uncharacterized. The record is from RefSeq and is a predicted model, not a curated record. The transcript has 3 exons. NCBI's taxonomy places the organism in Eukaryota, Metazoa, Arthropoda, Branchiopoda, Diplostraca, Daphniidae.
AAUAAGUGAGAUUAUCUGUUUGGGCCUGUGUAGAUUGUAUAUCAGGUCCGCUGUGUUCACCAUGUGUUAACUAUUCUGGAUCCAAGGUGGCUGUGGCCAGAGGCUCACCAAGAGCCACGUUUUCAACAUUUCCACGAGAUUCCACGUCGCUGCAGUGUUACCUUUUCGGAAGAAUCACUUGCCAAGAUUCCUUUUUCUCUUCAAGAGAUGGGCGGGCACUUCCGUAUUCGACGCCGACAAAAUCUUUCACCACCAACAAGACAAGUCAUCUGUCACGCGAUUUCGGGCACGUUCACGUAGUAGGAAAAGAAAAAC